Molecule: long non-coding RNA, 702 nt
Filed under: Rattus norvegicus (Norway rat)
Lineage: Eukaryota; Metazoa; Chordata; Mammalia; Rodentia; Muridae
Description: long non-coding RNA NONRATT014000
Source: RNAcentral
GCUUUUUAGCACAAGAGAAUCCCCACCUUGACUACUAGCAGCUCCCUUCUUUCCAAACUAGUUUCCAGUACUACUUUGUAUCAGCAGCUGGCUUUGUUUUUGCAUUACAGUGUUAACAUCACCUCUGACUUACUUUUGUCAGCAGUGAGGCGACUUAAACAGUUGUCCAGAAACUCUGGGGGAACCUCACAGGCUUGUUAUGUCCCUGAUGCUUUUUUUGGUCUCCUUUCCCAAAUAUUUGUGCUCAUAGUUUUAUCGUGUUGAUAUAAUCCCCAAAUUACAUUGAAAGUCUAAUGCCUCACUCUAAUCCCAGCAAGAUCUGCAUGUGCAGGAUUCAUUCUCAAAGCAGCAGGCUGUUCUGGGCUUUAUGCAGUGUGCCAGCCGAGUUACCCUCAUCACCUGCUCAGUCUUAUUUAUUUAUUUUUUUUGGAAAGUGAAAUUGUAUUUUUCUCCAUUAACCUCUGUGAACAUUGUACUAUGGCAUAUUGUUCUCCGGAUAUUUAUGGAUAUUUUCUUUUGCCACGGUAUUUCGUGGAUGUCAUCUAUAGUUUCAGAGAGAUUAUAUUACCACCAAUGAGCCAGCCACCUAUGCAAUUCCCUCCUACCCUCUCUUUUAGGAGAGUAAUCCUACAGUUGAGCUAAACUCUUGCAAAGAAUUGCUACUUUUUAAGAAAAAUUACUUUAUUAACUAUGGCAAACAGU